Sebastes umbrosus (honeycomb rockfish) is the source of this 468-nucleotide long non-coding RNA. RefSeq lists it as uncharacterized. The transcript is spliced from 4 exons. NCBI's taxonomy places the organism in Eukaryota, Metazoa, Chordata, Actinopteri, Perciformes, Sebastidae. The record is from RefSeq and is a predicted model, not a curated record.
GAACAAGUUGGUUCAUGAAUUAACGGUCUCAUAACACAUUUCCAACGAAAACAAAAACACAUUUCUGUCAGACUAUGUUUUUUAAAAUAUUGUCUUUGGUUCCAAAAGUUGACGAAUUCAUGAGUGGCGAAGGAAAAGAAGGAGGGAAAAUGGUAGGAAGAGAGGUUCAGAAUAAAGUGCUGAAACCCUAGAUGUGCAUGAGGCAGUGAAAUGUCCCCCUUAUACAAUGACAUCAUCGUGCUGUUUACUUCAUGAAGUGCAGGACAUGUCAGCCUUCAGGAGAGCACAGUGCUGGUUUGACUCUGACAGCAGAUGGUCUGAAGAGUCUUGGAUGGAAACACCUUAAGGACUGAAUUAUUCUGAGAUAGCCAGGGAUUUGUCUUCCAGAGAAAUGGACGCUCAGCUCUGGGACUCCAAUGGAUGACGGAGUAACAAACAGGAACAAAGAAUCUCACUGCCAUGUCAAUG